CGAGAUGCCACCCCGAGAUGAGUGUGGGCUCGAUUAUUCCCCUUACUGGAACCGUUUUCUUCAACUGCCAUCAUUCAAUUGAGGAACCGUAUACAAGCAAGGAAUGUGAAGCCAUGCCGUCGACCUGUAAUAGUAUUUGUUUGCGCGCUCUACUGUGCUUGGGCAUCAGACUUUCACGAGGGUUUCAUGUUCUCUGGAGGGCCCGUAACAGGGCGGUGGUGAGACGUGCGAGGUUCCUUCCAGUCCUGGCAGCUGUAGCAUCCCUUCGUGGUGAGGAAGGCUCGCUAUAUCCCGCGAAGAUGAAGCACUGGAACUGAAACCUCCUCACCCGCCAGAGAGCUGGGAGAUCAACACGACAUUACUUGUCAAGGAAAAGCGAAGAUAUGCCGUCAAUGAGGAUUAAUGAGGCGAUUAUAUUCGAAACGCAGUUAAAUGCUAGCGUCCCGUGGAGUACAAAGCACAAUUCACGGAGUAGACUAGCGUGCGCAAUAAAUUACAUAGCGGUCCAUUAGAGCCGCCCUAUAUAUUACCAGUCGACGGACUGAAAGGGGUCAGACAGAAUUGCCAUGAGAUGAACUAGUACUCUGAUUGCGAUAACCAGUUGCAUUUAUAGUGGAAGCGUUAGGUUAAUAAAGGCAAAAAGCAAAGACAAAAAAAGGAAGUUCAAGGUCGUAGAUUUCCUCAAACCGUUUUGAGGUCUCUCAAGGGGUAUACUACAUCAUCACCUCUCCCAGUUCAUUUCAAAUUACUUUGAAGGCUUUGUUCAUUUCGCAGUGGGUGUUAUAACUCCAGCUUUCCAGUCAGUUACCGAGCAUCCAAAUCACCAUUGGCGCAUUUUCUUAUUAAUGUAAGUAGCAAGAUGUCACUUAGUGUCGCGAAAUGCUGUAUACACUCAGCAAAUAGGCUGCGAAAUCAAACAACGCCUAGUCAACCUCUCCCCAGUAUUUUUCUUCACCAACAUCAACGUCAUCAAAUAAAGCCUACG
This is a long non-coding RNA of Ornithodoros turicata, 985 nucleotides long. RefSeq lists it as uncharacterized. Lineage: Eukaryota; Metazoa; Arthropoda; Arachnida; Ixodida; Argasidae. The transcript has 4 exons. The record is from RefSeq and is a predicted model, not a curated record.